RNAcentral lists this ribosomal RNA (497 nucleotides) under uncultured bacterium. Its description in RNAcentral is "partial 16S ribosomal RNA". It matches the Rfam family "Bacterial small subunit ribosomal RNA", at positions 28 to 507 of the family's 1533-position model. The record is from RNAcentral.
GACGAACGCUGGCGGCGUGCCUAAUACAUGCAAGUUGAGCGCUGAAGGUUGGUACUUGUACCAACUGGAUGAGCAGCGAACGGGUGAGUAACGCGUGGGGAAUCUGCCUUUGAGCGGGGGACAACAUUUGGAAACGAAUGCUAAUACCGCAUAAAAACUUUAAACACAAGUUUUAAGUUUGAAAGAUGCAAUUGCAUCACUCAAAGAUGAUCCCGCGUUGUAUUAGCUAGUUGGUGAGGUAAAGGCUCACCAAGGCGAUGAUACAUAGCCGACCUGAGAGGGUGAUAGGCCACAUUGGGACUGAGACACGGCCCAAACGCCUACGGGAGGCAGCAGUAGGGAAUCUUCGGCAAUGGACGAAAGUCUGACCGAGCAACGCCGCGUGAGUGAAGAAGGUUUUCGGAUCGUAAAACUCUGUUGGUAGAGAAGAACGUUGGUGAGAGUGGAAAGCUCAUCAAGUGACGGUAACUACCCAGAAAGGGACGGCUAACUACGUG